AAAUCAAUCUAUAUAAGCCACAGGUAAAGCAGACACCAGCUACAAAAGUGGAGAACGAAUGCAUCCUGAAGCUACAAGGGCAGCUCUGCCAGCCUAUUUCAAAAAUGCAUACAUACACAAUAGAAAAAUCACAGGGUUUCCAGUGAUGCUUGCUGCAGCCAUGAACUAUUUCCUGUAACUUAGAGGACACCAUGGGAAGCAAAGAUGCAUGAGGACACUCUCCACCUGCUCCAUGCCUGCUGAACAGCUGGAUGCAGUGAAAGGCUUCAAGGGCCCCAACGGGCAACUCCUGGGCACCUUCAGCAUCCUGCCAGGGGAUUCGUGGUCAUCAUGAUGGAAAGGCCUUCUCUUCUGAGUGUGGCCCACUUCAUCAAGUGAAGAAGAGGCACCAGAACAGGACCAUGGAAGAUUUGGGGGACAAGUGGUGUUUCCUUUGACCUAUCUGGUGUAAGGUCAAGAUGCGUAAAGAUAAAUCAGGAUCCAGCAAGGAAACAGCGGACUUUGAAAGAAGAAGGACCAGACUGGCAAUAUACUGCUCUCCUGCCCUGAGGAAAAUCCCAUUAUCCACUUCCAAAUGAAAUUGGCACCAUUGAAUAGGACUAGAUCAGAAAUAAGAAGGGUCCAUAUACUAACUUUGGUAUUUCAGGAGGACCUCCCCACUUCUGCCGGCGGCCCCGGGACACUCGCAUAACCCCCUUCUGCAGCGGGCCCCAGGACAGUCCCGCACCCCCUUCUGCAGCCGGCCCCGGGACAGUCCCGCACCCCCCUUCUGCAGCCGGCCCCGGGACAGUCCCGCACCCCCCUUCUGCAGCCGGCCCCGGGACAGUCCCGCACCCCCCUUCUGCAGCCGGCCCCGGGACAGUCCCGCACCCCCUUCUGCAGCCGGCCCCGGGACAGUCCCGCACCCCCCUUCUGCAGCCGGCCCCGGGACUGUCCCGUACCCCCCUUCUGCAGCCGGCCCCGGGACUGUCCCGUACCCCCCUUCUGCAGCCGGCCCCGGGACUGUCCCGCACCCCCCUUCUGCAGCCGGCCCCGGGACUGUCCCGCACCCCCCUUCUGCAGCCGGCCCCGGGACUGUCCCGCACCCCCCUUCUGCAGCCGGCCCCGGGACUGUCCUGCACCCCCCUUCUGCAGCCAUCCCCAGGAUACUCCUCCACCCCCCUUCUGCAGCCCGAACCAGGACUGUCCUAUAUCCUCCUUCUGCAGCUGGCCCCGUGUCACUCCCACACACCACCUUCAGCCGGCCCCAGGACACUCCCGCACCCCUCCCUUCUACAGCCAGCCCUGGGACACUCCCACACAUCCUCCUGCAGAUGGCUCCCUUCUACACUCCCGCACCCCCCUUCUGCAAUGGCCACAAUUCAGUCCUGCCCCCCCCCCUAUGAUUUUCCUCAGGGUAGGGAUUAAAAUGCUGGCCAAGAAACGAGAACUCCUGCAGAAGUUACUACAGCCAGUAAAGGCAAGGGAAAUGCAGACUCCCAGGAGGAUGGGGCAGCUCUAGAUGGAACAUAUGCAGUCGGUGACCCAGGAGUGGAAAAUGCUGUUGAGAUUAACGCCGUCUUACCCAAGGACCCGCCUCACGGCUGAACCAAGGUUAUAGUCAGUAUCAGUUACUGGCUUUGUAUUUUUGUUUUUGAAUUGCUCCUUUCCUUUCCCCGUAGUUCCCAAUUUGGGUGCAAAGACAUGGUGAACCCAAUUUGGGGAUGGAUCCUCAGAAGUCUUGGAUGUGGGUGUGUCUGGGGAGCAAAGGGGCUAUGCAGAAGGGAUUGGCUGCAUCGAAGUUCCAAUUCUGUGGAGGGCUGGAGAAGACAAGAGUUGGACCAAGCCAGGAUGGGUGGGGAGCUUGGGAGGAGAGUGGGGCAGUGGAGGUGGGGCAGCCCUACUGGACUCCAUGGGACACUGGUGUGCAGCCCUCCUCUAAGCCUUUAAUUUCAUAUAUCUUUAAAAUGUUUCUAUCUUUUAUAUCCAAACUGCUCUUUGUUAAGACACCCCGGGGUGGUGUGCAGCCCAUCGGAUCCCUAGCAGGGAGGAGUGCAUUCUUGUAAUUAAUUUCAGUAGGUCCCAGUUAUUAAUUCCAAAGUGGGGCUUCCCCCCAGUUUCUGGGAAGAUAAAGCACCCCAUCCAGUGACAGCGCAAACACCUUUCCACUGCCGGGCACUUUCCAGAUUACAGUUACAACCGCCGUAAAAUGCUUCAGCCUGGCGGAAUCGAAUUGACAACAUAAUGAAAGGGUGUGGUGCAAGUCCACCAGCAGGGGGAGAAGUCUUUUCUAGUUUGCCCCAGAUGCCCUAAAAUGGAAAACACAGCAAUCUUUUUACAACGUUGCAGGACUGUAACAAAGCCAUAAAAACCAAAAGAAGGCAUUGGAAAUGUGAAUGGCAAAUUGCUGACAGUGCAGGGGCUGCAAUGUCAAUACGUAGGAAACAGGAAAGCACUCUUUGCAGAUCUGUAGUGACAUUUUGGUAAGGGUUAAUCUGGAAAGCGCCCAGGCUGACCUGCGCAACUAACUCCUUGCAGCUGAGCUAGCUUGAGUGAGUCUGAGUGUUUUCUUAUCGGAAGCACACAGCUGAAUCUCCAAACAGAAAUACUACCUGCUGGGCAAAAGAAGGGGAGGGGAAGGGAAGAAGGAAUAAAGACAAUCCCUAGUGCCUCCAACAGCAGCGGGGUUGAUGGGAGUUGUAGCCCAACAACAGCUAAAGUUUGGCCACCCCUGCAAUAAUUAAUAUAGUCUGCUGGUGCAGAACCCAAUGUGUUUAUGAAGAAAACCCAACACAUUUUGGGCAGCAGCUCUUUGGUAGGGGGCUGGAUAAAGACAUCAGCAUGAAACCGAGGGAGUUGAAACUGAGGGUCAUUGAGAAAAUGACUAUUAAGUCGUAGCAGGUGUGCCAAUCUGAAGCUCACGCUUGUUAUCUUUUUCUUCUUUCUCCAUCCUAGCAGCAAAGAAGCCCUUCCCAGAAUCCCUCUUGGCAUUGUUAUUGAGGGCAACCUCAGCCAGGUCAAUACACCUCAACACUGUGACAAAUCUCCCCUCUGGGUGGAUGGAAUUGUGGGCCCUAGACAAGGCAGGAAGAGGUUGAGGAGAGCAAGCCCACACCAGAUUCCCACUCCCUUUAUGGCUAGGUUCCCCAAAGCCUCAGGUCCAUUCAAGGUGUUGGGAUAAGACACCCCACCACCAAAGGUUUCUUCUGUGUGGAAGGUAGGAUAGUUCUCCAUACAGAGGCUUUUUGCCUUCACCUCUGAGGCAAAAAUCACCCCCUUCUUAUCAGGGAGGCAUUGUUGCACCACAAAGCUUCACCCCAGGAGUGAAAGCCACACCUUAGUUCACAGAACCCCUUUCAAACUAGUUUCUAAAGUUGUGGCCUGAGUUUGCAACCCUUUCCGCUGCCCCAUCUCUUGAUUCUGAGCCUGGGUGCAAGACUACACCUUCUCCUAGCACUGCAUGCAGUGUGGCGGGUGCUGGUUUUGCAUCCAUUCCCGGCAAGGUAUAAGAAACAAGCCUGGAAAACACAGUGGACCAUGCUGUGACUGCAUCCUCAGUAGGGCUGUUCCUGGAUCGGCAUGUCUGAACCGGAUGAAUCGUUUUGGUGCCCCUCUAACGAGGCGCUGAAAGGAUUUGAGCACAUCCCUUAUCCUUGGUCCAUAGGGCCAUCCAGGGGGAUGAGGGCAUGCUAAUAAAAGCAACCCCCAACCUCUGCAGGAAGACCUUGGCAUCUGCUCACACACACCCCCGGGCAACAGUGUGGGAUUAGCUGGCUGCCUUUUGGGGCCGAGUAGGAAUUUUUCCCAUCCACCCAGAUUGGCCUGGAGGUGGCUGGUUUUUUGCCUACUCUGCACUGUUGCACUGGAAGGGUUUUUUGAUCUGGCCCAUGUUAGGAGCGGUGCCUUUAAAUAGAGUAGCCCCAUGGUCACCAGCCGCAUGAUGACAGGUCAGAGGAGGGGAUACGGUGCUGCACCCUAGGGGUGGCAGCUGCACUGUGGCUUGGCUACACUGCAUCUUUUUAUUGAAACUAAGUUAAUAAAGUUAUCGCCCUAGUUUUAACCCA
Long non-coding RNA from Hemicordylus capensis (graceful crag lizard), 4043 nucleotides. RefSeq lists it as uncharacterized. Lineage: Eukaryota; Metazoa; Chordata; Lepidosauria; Squamata; Cordylidae. The transcript is spliced from 4 exons. The record is from RefSeq and is a predicted model, not a curated record.